UUUUAAAUCUGGCGCAAGCCCGAGUUGUAAUUUGUAGAGGAUGCUUCUGGGUAGCGGCCGGUCUAAGUUCCUUGGAACAGGACGUCAUAGAGGGUGAGAAUCCCGUAUGUGACUGGCUUGCACCCUCCACGUAGCUCCUUCGACGAGUCGAGUUGUUUGGGAAUGCAGCUCUAAAUGGGAGGUAAAUUUCUUCUAAAGCUAAAUACCGGCCAGAGACCGAUAGCGCACAAGUAGAGUGAUCGAAAGAUGAAAAGCACUUUGGAAAGAGAGUUAAAAAGCACGUGAAAUUGUUGAAAGGGAAGCGCCCGCAACCAGACUUUGCGGCAGUGUUCGGCCGGUCUUCUGACCGGUUUACUCGCUGUCGUGAGGCCAUCAUCGUCUGGGACCGCUGGAUAAGACCUUAGGAAUGUGGCUCCCCUCGGGGAGUGUUAUAGCCUCUGGUGAUGCAGCGCGUCUCGGGCGAGGUCCGCGCUUCGGCAAGGAUGAUGGCGUAAUGGUUGUCGGCGGCCCGUCUUGAAACACGGACCAAGGAGUCUAACAUCUAUGCGAGUGUUCGGGUGUCAAACCCCUACGCGUAAUGAAAGUGAACGGAGGUGGGAACUUUUUGUGCACCAUCGACCGAUCCUGAUGUCCUCGGAUGGAUUUGAGUAAGAGCAUAGCUGUUGGGACCCGAAAGAUGGUGAACUAUGCCUGAAUAGGGUGAAGCCAGAGGAAACUCUGGUGGAGGCUCGCAGCGGUUCUGACGUGCAAAUCGAUCGUCAAAUUUGGGUAUAGGGGCGAAAGACUAAUCGAACCAUCUAGUAGCUGGUUCCUGCCGAAGUUUCCCUCAGAUAGCAGUAACGUUUUCAGUUUUAUGAGG
RNAcentral lists this ribosomal RNA (859 nucleotides) under Pseudocercospora macadamiae. RNAcentral describes it as "eukaryotic LSU rRNA". It matches the Rfam family "Eukaryotic large subunit ribosomal RNA", at positions 114 to 1008 of the family's 3401-position model. Lineage: Eukaryota; Fungi; Ascomycota; Dothideomycetes; Mycosphaerellales; Mycosphaerellaceae. The record is from RNAcentral.